This 67-nucleotide transfer RNA is filed under the name Marmota monax (woodchuck). RNAcentral's name for it is "tRNA.Val". Lineage: Eukaryota; Metazoa; Chordata; Mammalia; Rodentia; Sciuridae. The record is from RNAcentral.
GGUUAUAACUCAGUGGUAGAGCACUUGCCUCACACGAGUGAGGCCUUGGGUUCGAGCCUCAGCACCA